This 497-nucleotide ribosomal RNA is filed under the name uncultured bacterium. Its description in RNAcentral is "partial 16S ribosomal RNA". It matches the Rfam family "Bacterial small subunit ribosomal RNA", at positions 28 to 507 of the family's 1533-position model. The record is from RNAcentral.
GAUGAACGCUGGCGGCGUGCCUAAUACAUGCAAGUCGAGCGAACGGACGAGAAGCUUGCUUCUCUGAUGUUAGCGGCGGACGGGUGAGUAACACGUGGAUAACCUACCUAUAAGACUGGGAGAACUUCGGGAAACCGGAGCUAAUACCGGAUAAUAUUUUGAACCGCAUGGUUCAAAAGUGAAAGACGGUUUUGCUGUCACUUAUAGAUGGAUCCGCGCUGCAUUAGCUAGUUGGUAAGGUAACGGCUUACCAAGGCAACGAUGCAUAGCCGACCUGAGAGGGUGAUCAGCCACACUGGAACUGAGACACGGUCCAGACUCCUACGGGAGGCAGCAGUAGGGAAUCUUCCGCAAUGGGCGCAAGCCUGACGGAGCCACGCCGCGUGAGUGAUGAAGGUCUUCGGAUCGUAAAACUCUGUUAUUAGGGAAGAACAUAUGUGUAAGUAACUGUGCACAUCUUGACGGUACCUAAUCAGAAAGCCACGGCUAACUACGUG